CAGCAGUAGCCGCGGGAAUACGAAGGGUGCAAGCGUUACUCGGAAUUACUGGGCGUAAAGCGUGCGUAGGUGGUGGUUUAAGUCCGUUGUGAAAGCCCUGGGCUCAACCUGGGAAUUGCAGUGGAUACUGGGUCACUAGAGUGUGGUAGAGGAUAGUGGAAUUUCCGGUGUAGCAGUGAAAUGCGUAGAGAUCGGAAGGAACAUCUGUGGCGAAGGCGACUAUCUGGGCCAACACUGACACUGAGGCACGAAAGCGUGGGGAGCAAACAGGAUUAGAUACCCCCGUAGUCCCUGUCUCUUAUAC
Molecule: ribosomal RNA, 304 nt
Filed under: uncultured bacterium
Lineage: Bacteria
Description: partial 16S ribosomal RNA
Rfam family: Bacterial small subunit ribosomal RNA
Source: RNAcentral